ACCUACGGGGCGCAGCAGUAGGGAAUUUUCGUCAAUGGGCGCAAGCCUGAACGAGCAAUGCCGCGUGAACGAAGAAGGUCUUCGGAUCGUAAAGUUCUGUUGAAGGGGAAAAAGAGCGGAGAGAGGAAAUGCUUUCUGAUUGAUAUUACCCUUCGAGGAAGUCACGGCUAACUACGUGCCAGCAGCCGCGGUAAUACGUAGGUGGCGAGCGUUAUCCGGAAUGAUUGGGCGUAAAGGGUGCGUAGGCGGCCUGCUAAGUCUGGAGUGAAAGGUACCGGCUCAACCGGUACAGGCUCUGGAAACUG
Molecule: ribosomal RNA, 305 nt
Filed under: uncultured bacterium
Lineage: Bacteria
Description: bacterial SSU rRNA
Rfam family: Bacterial small subunit ribosomal RNA
Source: RNAcentral